Molecule: unclassified non-coding RNA, 240 nt
Filed under: soil metagenome
Description: partial contains 5.8S ribosomal RNA, internal transcribed spacer 2, and large subunit ribosomal RNA
Source: RNAcentral
AACCUAGCACACCUGCGGUGUGUACCUGCGGAGGGAUCAUUAUAGUAUAUGGAAUCUCCAUUCUAUAAACCCACUCUGCGUAUCUUGUAACUGUUGCUUCCAUGGGACUUGGUUCCGCCACACCGGCUUCACGGCUGGUGAGCGCCCAUGGAAGGAGAAACAAAACUCUUCUUUGAAAUGUAGUCAGUCUGAACAAGUUUUUAUAAACGUUAAAACUUUUAACAAUGGAUCUCAGAUCGG